This 462-nucleotide ribosomal RNA is filed under the name uncultured Thiobacillus sp. Its description in RNAcentral is "bacterial SSU rRNA". It matches the Rfam family "Bacterial small subunit ribosomal RNA", at positions 916 to 1381 of the family's 1533-position model. The record is from RNAcentral. Lineage: Bacteria; Pseudomonadati; Pseudomonadota; Betaproteobacteria; Nitrosomonadales; Thiobacillaceae.
ACGGGACCCGCACAAGCGUGGAUGAUGUGGAUUAAUUCGAUGCAACGCGAAGAACCUUACCUACCCUUGACAUGUCCGGAACUUGCCAGAGAUGGCUUGGUGCCCGAAAGGGAAUCGGAACACAGGUGCUGCAUGGCUGUCGUCAGCUCGUGUCGUGAGAUGUUGGGUUAAGUCCCGCAACGAGCGCAACCCUUAUCAUUAGUUGCUACGCAAGGGCACUCUAAUGAGACUGCCGGUGACAAACCGGAGGAAGUGGGGAUGACGUCAAGUCCUCAUGGCCCUUAUGGGUAGGGCUUCACACGUCAUACAAUGGUCGGUACAGAGGGUUGCCAAGCCGCGAGGCGGAGCCAAUCCCACAAAGCCGAUCGUAGUCCGGAUUGUUCUCUGCAACUCGAGAGCAUGAAGUCGGAAUCGCUAGUAAUCGCAGGUCAGCAUACUGCGGUGAAUACGUUCCCGGGCCUU